GGGUCAUUGUUUAAAUAGCCUAAAUUACAAAAUCAACUUAUCAGAAAAUCCAUUCCUUAACACUACCCAAGGCCGAAACCCUCCUGACCCGCGUCUCACUGCCCAAGCCCAACAACCCGCCGACCCGAUCCACCACGCCUUUCUUCUCCAUAAUAACAAUAUCAGCAACCUGACAACAACACACGAUACAACAGCUCAACACAUAAACCCUAGUCCCAAAUUGCAUGUGCCACCUAAUUAUUUUCCUCGCCUUGGCACCUCGUAGUGUGCAAGGAAUGAAGCUCAUACCACAGAGGUUCUAGAACCUACGAUGUGGCGCCUCUUAAUUCCUUUCUCAAAUUUAAUCCAUUCCCAAUUUCAAAUAUUUUCAUCUCAAAUUCAUAUCGUUCUCACACGAUAACUCGUCGUUAAUCCUCAAGGAGGAUUUGGAUUUCUUCUCAGAUGAAUUCCUAGAAAAUCCAUUCAAUUUCCUUAUCCGACAUCCACAAUUUCCCAAGAAUUUGGGGAUUUUGGGUUCUAUAUAAGCCCCAAAAAAGUUAUAAUUCUCUAUGGAUUUUGGACUUCAGUCCCUAGCCAUAGAGUUGUGAGAAUUUUGUUCUCAAUGUGAGGAAAGUGGUGAAGUCGUCGUCAACUUUUCGUCCCGAUUGGCUGCUUCGGAAAAGUCCCACCGAACUCCUAUCCCUUUACAUCUUCCAAUGGGGGCUAAGCCCCGAAUUUGAGUCAAACUUCAUGCCCAAGUCCCAAAGUGGACCAAAACUAUGAAAAAUAAGAUUGUAUACACAGAUAAUAUAGUAGAUAUAGAUGAUAUACAACAAAUGAGAAAGGGAAGCAUAUACACCUGUGGAAGACAAAAUAUGUGACUGAUAUACAUCAUACAUGCGGAUAUACAGCCAUAUACAUUCUGAUAUACAGGAAUAUCACAGCUCAAGCUGCAUACAAGAGUAUACGUUGCAAAAAGGGGUCGGAAUAAGUCCACAAUUUGAAGUCCAAAUCUGAACAUAUUCAAAAUGGGACAGCAAGGGCCCAAAUCUCAACUUUUAUUCCUUUUAUUUCCUUGUUAUUGAUUUGAUUAUUUAUAUGUAAUUUUAUUUAAUUAAUCUCGAAUGAAUCCUCGGGAGCAAGUUCAUAUUCAAGUCAUUCAUUUCA
Long non-coding RNA from Capsicum annuum, 1146 nucleotides. RefSeq lists it as uncharacterized. Lineage: Eukaryota; Viridiplantae; Streptophyta; Magnoliopsida; Solanales; Solanaceae. The record is from RefSeq and is a predicted model, not a curated record. The transcript has 2 exons.